RNAcentral lists this long non-coding RNA (201 nucleotides) under Elaeis guineensis (African oil palm). Its description in RNAcentral is "long non-coding RNA (EGUI_LNC033695)". The record is from RNAcentral. Lineage: Eukaryota; Viridiplantae; Streptophyta; Magnoliopsida; Arecales; Arecaceae.
GAGGAGCAUGGCCGGCGGUCGAUUGCGAUCGCCGAUGCUAGAAAAAUCCAAGGAAAAAUGGCCCAAAACAGGGGUCUCUUUCCUGAUCGAAAAUCGGCAAUGCUCGUCGCCGGCCAUCACGUGCAAGGGUAUGGGAGGAAAGGGAAGGAAGAGAGGAAGGGGAGGAAGACUUACCUUGGCCUCCGGUGACCCCACCGGCGA